UAGCUCAGUUGGUUAGAGCGUCGUGCUAAUAACGCGAAGGUCGCGGGUUCGAUCCCCUC
This 59-nucleotide transfer RNA is filed under the name Musca domestica (house fly). It matches the Rfam family "tRNA", at positions 8 to 63 of the family's 71-position model. Rfam says of the family: Transfer RNA (tRNA) molecules are approximately 80 nucleotides in length. The record is from Rfam by way of RNAcentral. Lineage: Eukaryota; Metazoa; Arthropoda; Insecta; Diptera; Muscidae.